This is a long non-coding RNA of Acanthopagrus latus (yellowfin seabream), 922 nucleotides long. RefSeq lists it as uncharacterized. The transcript is spliced from 3 exons. Lineage: Eukaryota; Metazoa; Chordata; Actinopteri; Spariformes; Sparidae. The record is from RefSeq and is a predicted model, not a curated record.
GAGCCCAUGUCGGCGUCACUGCGGCCCUGCGGCGCCCCCCUCAGUCUGGAGAACGACACUGAGCGACCAUCGGCCCACAUCCAGCGACCCGGACCUCCAGACAGACCUGAGGAACAACGAGGAAACUGAUCAGUGAUCAGCAGCGAGCAGGUCCUCUCGGCACUGGCCCAGCUCGCCACAGAUGAGCUGACGAUGUAACAGCGUCUCCUGUAGUGAGUCCAUCCGUCAGCACACGAGCUGCUCACCGACUUCCCCGUCUGAGGAGGCAACGAGAGAAUUAUCACAGCAGAAACAUCCGGCUGUCCAAACUACAACACCUCCGACCUCUCUCCGGGUGGUGUCGGGGUUCUGGAUGAUCCAUCUGAGGAGGAUCGUCGACGGGGGGCUCCUGCUGGAGGCGACUGUGAGGUGAGCGACUCCACCCGACGUCCCCUGGCUUCACCUCCUCCAGCCGGAGAGGAGUCAGACUGUGGAACUGAUGGAGGAGGACGAUCGUGACUGAAUAUACUGUUUUGGGGUGAACUAUUCCUUUAAGUAAAAGGAAAGUCUGACAUCAUCAUACAUGAGAAAACUGUGAGAAUAAAAUGUGAACUUUCUCACCGUCCAGACCUUCUCCUCAGCCCUCCUCUCUCCUGACACACGCACCUGAACACCAGCAGGAAGGCAAACACUCAAAUAUCAGUUCUGUGUUUUAGAUUCACACUGAAAAAAUAACACAUUAAUACACAUUAAAACAUUAAAACAAAUCAACAUGCAGGCUAACCGAAUCAGGUCUUGAUCUCUGCUGGUCUGUAAUGCAACAUGUAAACAAAGAGCUGAAGAUUAAGACGCUCUGAGGCCGUUUAUUGGUUGUUUUGGGUUUUUUAAAUCUGAAAUAUUGUUCAAUCUGACUUUGAACAUCAAAAUAAAAUUGUUCAAUACA